UUGUCUAUUUUAUAACAAGAAUAUUAGAAAUGUGUUUCUAUUACUCAUUUGUUUGUUUUAAUCGAUUACCAUUUGGUUCUACUUUGACAAUUUCCUAUCUAUGAAUAAAUAGAAUCUUCAUUUAUGAAAGGGCCGGUUUAAGUUUAUUUUUGCACUGUUC
This is a long non-coding RNA of Hibiscus syriacus, 160 nucleotides long. RefSeq lists it as uncharacterized. The transcript is spliced from 3 exons. The record is from RefSeq and is a predicted model, not a curated record. NCBI's taxonomy places the organism in Eukaryota, Viridiplantae, Streptophyta, Magnoliopsida, Malvales, Malvaceae.